GACGAACGCUGGCGGCGUGCUUAACACAUGCAAGUCGAACGAUGAAGAAGAGCUUGCUCUUCGGAUUAGUGGCGAACGGGUGAGUAACACGUGACUAACCUGCCCCUUUCUCUGGGAUAACGCUCCGAAAGGAGUGCUAAUACCGGAUACUCACAUCGAGGCACAUGCCUUGAUGUGGAAAGUUUUUCGGAAAGGGAUGGAGUCGCGGCCUAUCAGCUUGUUGGUGAGGUAACGGCUCACCAAGGCGACGACGGGUAGCCGGCCUGAGAGGGCGACCGGCCACACUGGGUCUGAGACACGGCCCAGACUCCUACGGGAGGCAGCAGUGGGGAAUAUUGCACAAUGGGCGAAAGCCUGAUGCAGCGACGCCGCGUGAGGGAUGAAGGUCUUCGGAUUGUAAACCUCUUUCAGUAGGGACGAAGCGAAAGUGACGGUACCUAAAGAAGAGGCACCGGCUAACUACGUGCCAGCAGCCGCAGUAA
RNAcentral lists this ribosomal RNA (482 nucleotides) under uncultured bacterium. RNAcentral's name for it is "partial 16S ribosomal RNA". It matches the Rfam family "Bacterial small subunit ribosomal RNA", at positions 28 to 523 of the family's 1533-position model. The record is from RNAcentral.